UGGGGAAUAUUGGACAAUGGGCGAAAGCCUGAUCCAGCCAUGCCGCGUGUGUGAAGAAGGUCUUCGGAUUGUAAAGCACUUUAAGUUGGGAGGAAGGGCAUUAACCUAAUACGUUAGUGUUUUGACGUUACCGACAGAAUAAGCACCGGCUAACUCUGUGCCAGCAGCCGCGGUAAUACAGAGGGUGCAAGCGUUAAUCGGAAUUACUGGGCGUAAAGCGCGCGUAGGUGGUUUGUUAAUGUGGAUGUGAAAUCCCCGGGCUCAACCUGGGAACUGCAUUCAAAACUGACUGACUAGAGUAUGGUAGAGGGUGGUGGAAUUUCCUGUGUAGCGGUGAAAUGCGUAGAUAUAGGAAGGAACACCAGUGGCGAAGGCGACCACCUGGACUAAUACUGACACUGAGGUGCGAAAGCGUGGGGAGCAAACA
This 427-nucleotide ribosomal RNA is filed under the name uncultured bacterium. RNAcentral's name for it is "partial 16S ribosomal RNA". It matches the Rfam family "Bacterial small subunit ribosomal RNA", at positions 355 to 774 of the family's 1533-position model. The record is from RNAcentral.